RNAcentral lists this ribosomal RNA (426 nucleotides) under uncultured bacterium. Its description in RNAcentral is "partial 16S ribosomal RNA". It matches the Rfam family "Bacterial small subunit ribosomal RNA", at positions 355 to 773 of the family's 1533-position model. The record is from RNAcentral.
UGGGGAAUUUUGGACAAUGGGCGAAAGCCUGAUCCAGCAAUGCCGCGUGUGUGAAGAAGGCCUUCGGGUUGUAAAGCACUUUUGUCCGGAAAGAAAUCCUUGGCUCUAAUACAGUCGGGGGAUGACGGUACCGGAAGAAUAAGCACCGGCUAACUACGUGCCAGCAGCCGCGGUAAUACGUAGGGUGCAAGCGUUAAUCGGAAUUACUGGGCGUAAAGCGUGCGCAGGCGGUUUGCUAAGACCGAUGUGAAAUCCCCGGGCUCAACCUGGGAACCGCAUUGGUGACUGGCAGGCUAGAGUAUGGCAGAGGGGGGUAGAAUUCCACGUGUAGCAGUGAAAUGCGUAGAGAUGUGGAGGAAUACCGAUGGCGAAGGCAGCCCCCUGGGCCAAUACUGACGCUCAUGCACGAAAGCGUGGGGAGCAAAC